This 165-nucleotide small RNA is filed under the name Bacillus sp. (in: firmicutes). RNAcentral describes it as "Bacillus sp. Magnesium sequence". It matches the Rfam family "M-box riboswitch aptamer (ykoK leader)". From Rfam's summary of the family: M-box riboswitch, also know as ykoK leader is described as a metaloregulatory RNA that sense divalent metals and function as a genetic control element of genes related to divalent metal transport in bacteria. The record is from RNAcentral. Lineage: Bacteria; Bacillati; Bacillota; Bacilli; Caryophanales; Bacillaceae.
AUUUACCUUCGUUAGGUGAGGCUCCUGUGUGGAGAUAUGCUGCUGCCCAGAAACGUCCAAAGACGCCAAUGGGUCAACAGAGACCAUCGAUAUAAGGUGGUAUUUAAUGCAGCUGGAUAUUUUCCUAUGCCACACAGUGCUAAAGCUCUACGAAUGAGGGAAAUC